UCCCUGAUGGUCCAUUGGUUAAGACUGCGGGCUUCCAAUGCAGGGGGUGUGGGUUCAAUCCCCGUUCAGGGAA
This 73-nucleotide transfer RNA is filed under the name Bos taurus (domestic cattle). It matches the Rfam family "tRNA". From Rfam's summary of the family: Transfer RNA (tRNA) molecules are approximately 80 nucleotides in length. Their secondary structure includes four short double-helical elements and three loops (D, anti-codon, and T loops). Further hydrogen bonds mediate the characteristic L-shaped molecular structure. tRNAs have two regions of fundamental functional importance: the anti-codon, which is responsible for specific mRNA codon recognition, and the 3' end, to which the tRNAs corresponding amino acid is attached (by aminoacyl-tRNA synthetases). tRNAs cope with the degeneracy of the genetic code in two manners: having more than one tRNA (with a specific anti-codon) for a particular amino acid; and 'wobble' base-pairing, i.e. permitting non-standard base-pairing at the 3rd anti-codon position. Lineage: Eukaryota; Metazoa; Chordata; Mammalia; Artiodactyla; Bovidae. The record is from Rfam by way of RNAcentral. RNAcentral also lists the same sequence under 3 other names.